GGGCCGUUAGCUCAGUUGGUAGAGCAUCUGACUUUUAAUUAGGUGGUCGCGCGUUCGAGCCGCGCACGGCCCACCA
This 76-nucleotide transfer RNA is filed under the name Gammaproteobacteria bacterium. Its description in RNAcentral is "tRNA-Lys". It matches the Rfam family "tRNA". From Rfam's summary of the family: Transfer RNA (tRNA) molecules are approximately 80 nucleotides in length. Their secondary structure includes four short double-helical elements and three loops (D, anti-codon, and T loops). RNAcentral also lists the same sequence under 2 other names. The record is from RNAcentral. Lineage: Bacteria; Pseudomonadati; Pseudomonadota; Gammaproteobacteria.